RNAcentral lists this ribosomal RNA (687 nucleotides) under Triticum aestivum (bread wheat). Its description in RNAcentral is "partial small subunit ribosomal RNA". The record is from RNAcentral. Lineage: Eukaryota; Viridiplantae; Streptophyta; Magnoliopsida; Poales; Poaceae.
AUGCCACUGUCCGACUCAAAGAUUCGCAAGGUGGACUACCAACCAGCGCUCGACAAACUUUGCAACAAGAUGAAGGGUUGGAUCCGGAUACACUUCUCCAUGGAUGGUCGAAUUCUGCUGGUGAAGCAUGUGCUCUCUGCGAUGGUGGUUUUUCAGAUGAUGGUCGUUCAAAUGCCGGUGUGGUUGCGGAAGAAGAUUGAUAAGCUCAGGAGAGGCUUUCUCUGGGAAGGAAAAGAAUUUGCAGUGGGCGGCAAAUGUCUGGUGAGCUGGCGCAUAAUUUGCAGACCAAUGAUCUUCGGAGGGCUGGGGAUGACGGACUUGGCUGCGCAGAGCACAGCGCUGAGGCUGAGAUGGUUGUGGAUGUCCUGGACGGACCCAAGCAAGGCCUGGUUGGGGCUGCCUCUGCCCACCGAUGCUAGAGUUCAGGAGCUGUUCAUGGCUUCAGUUCAGUUCCAUCUUGGGGAUGGACAACGAAUUUGCUUCUGGACGGAGCCCUGGAUGCAUGGAAUAAGUUUCUGUCAUAGCUACCCAGCGUUGUUCAGUGUCUGCACCCGGAAACGGCUCACGGUGGCUCAAGCGCUUACCGGCGAUCGUUGGACGCGUCACCUAAGGGAGAAUCUGACGCCGCAGGCUGUCCGUGAGUUCACCGCCUUGUGGGUUCAGCUACAGGGCGUGGCACUAGGCUAG